Molecule: non-coding RNA, 312 nt
Organism: Camelina sativa (false flax)
Lineage: Eukaryota; Viridiplantae; Streptophyta; Magnoliopsida; Brassicales; Brassicaceae
Source: RefSeq, a predicted model, not a curated record
GGAAAGUGCAGAAGAAGAUGGUUGGCAUCAUCUGGUUGCUAAGGGCUUUAUAGAAUACAUAGACACAGAGGAAGAGGAGACGACCAUGAUUUCCAUGACUAUCAGUGAUCUGGUUCAAGCUAGACUCCGCCCAGACGAGGCGUAUACCGAAAACUACACACAUUGUGAGAUUCACCCAUCUCUGAUAUUGGGUGUCUGUGCUUCAAUUAUACCAUUUCCUGACCAUAAUCAGUCACCUCGUAAUACAUAUCAAUCUGCCAUGGGGAAGCAAGCAAUGGGAAUUUAUGUCACCAACUACCAAUUUCGCAUGGU